RNAcentral lists this transfer RNA (74 nucleotides) under bacterium. RNAcentral describes it as "tRNA-Val". It matches the Rfam family "tRNA". Rfam says of the family: Transfer RNA (tRNA) molecules are approximately 80 nucleotides in length. Their secondary structure includes four short double-helical elements and three loops (D, anti-codon, and T loops). Further hydrogen bonds mediate the characteristic L-shaped molecular structure. tRNAs have two regions of fundamental functional importance: the anti-codon, which is responsible for specific mRNA codon recognition, and the 3' end, to which the tRNAs corresponding amino acid is attached (by aminoacyl-tRNA synthetases). tRNAs cope with the degeneracy of the genetic code in two manners: having more than one tRNA (with a specific anti-codon) for a particular amino acid; and 'wobble' base-pairing, i.e. permitting non-standard base-pairing at the 3rd anti-codon position. The record is from RNAcentral. RNAcentral also lists the same sequence under 2 other names.
GGGCUCGUAGCUCAGUUGGUUAGAGCGCUACGUUGACAUCGUAGAGGUCACAGGUUCGAAUCCUGUCGGGCCCA